Pelobates cultripes (western spadefoot toad) is the source of this 211-nucleotide non-coding RNA. The record is from the annotation of a GenBank genome assembly. Lineage: Eukaryota; Metazoa; Chordata; Amphibia; Anura; Pelobatidae.
UUUCAAUAAUAUCUUGAAGUAUAUUCUUGCUGAGCGUAUAAUUUGUAUUAAGGUACAUCUCUGUCAAUAGGAUUUAAUGCAUAGAAAUAUAUGUUGAGCCACAUACUCUAAUUAAAUCAGAGUUCUGUAUUUUCUCCUUCUGUUUUGUCCAUCACCUUGGAUUCUGUCCCCUGGUUCUGACCUGUACUUUUUCUGAAUCAGUCAGAGGCAC